UAGGGAAUCUUCGGCAAUGGACGGAAGUCUGACCGAGCAACGCCGCGUGAGUGUAGAAGGUUUUCGGAUCGUAAAGCUCUGUUGUUUGAGAAGAACGUUGGUAGGAGUGGAAAAUCUACCAAGUGACGGUAACUAACCAGAAAGGGACGGCUAACUACGUGCCAGCAGCCGCGGUAAUACGGAGGUCCCGAGCGUUGUCCGGAUUUAUUGGGCGUAAAGCGAGCGCAGGCGGUUCUUUAAGUCUGAAGUUAAAGGCAGUGGCUUAACCAUUGUACGCUUUGGAAACUGGAGGACUUGAGUGCAGAAGGGGAGAGUGGAAUUCCAUGUGUAGCGGUGAAAUGCGUAGAUAUAUGGAGGAACACCGGUGGCGAAAGCGGCUCUCUGGUCUGUAACUGACGCUGAGGCUCGAAAGCGUGGGGAGCAAACAGG
This 429-nucleotide ribosomal RNA is filed under the name Bacillota bacterium. RNAcentral's name for it is "Firmicutes bacterium partial 16S ribosomal RNA". It matches the Rfam family "Bacterial small subunit ribosomal RNA", at positions 355 to 776 of the family's 1533-position model. The record is from RNAcentral. Lineage: Bacteria; Bacillati; Bacillota.